AACUUAUUGAAAUUUCCUGAAUACAUUGCCAUAACUUUCAUGACUUCCACUAAAUGUAAACCACCACCAUUUUUUCACCAUAAAAUCGCAAGCCUCUCCAUUGAUUUUCAAGCUUUAUCGCCCUCCAAGAAUCUUCUCACAAAUGGAUUGCAGAUAAUUUGAAUUGAUAAGACAAUAUAUUUCAUGAUUCACGAAUACAACCUCUAAACAGCAGGAUAAAAGGAGGUGAGGGAGGAGGUCAGGAUGUUAAUGAAAUCAGUAACGUGCCUAUAUUUACAAUGCACAAAUUGUACGACCUCUGACAAAACAAAUGGACACAAUAAGGAUUUAGAAAUUAAAAAAAAAAAAAAUCUCCAGAUGAAGAUGAUCAGCCAUAUUCCGAUGUCCGAUAAGCACCAAAGGAGCAUGAGAAUUGUCAGCUUGAACUUACUGUGUUGUCACACUCUUCGCAAGAUUGCGAGGUUGGUCCACAUUGUAACCCUUUAGAACAGUGAGGUGAUAUGCCAGUAACUGCACCAGAAAGAGAACUAAACAUUUUAGCAAGGCACCCAGAAGUUGUCAACGUAAAACAAGUGAGACCCCAUGAGUGGUUGAGAAUUAAAUUCAGGCAAACAAAUCCAUAAAUUGCAAAUGUAGAAUGCCACAAGCAACAGAUUCUUGCCAAUAUUUUAAAAGGCAUUUUUGCAGCUUUUAUCCUUCACAAUUCACAAGCAUGUACUGUGGAGCAUCUCAUUGAUGCAAAACACUGAUAUCAUGUAAUCUUGUAUGUAAAGAUCACUGAGGAAUCUGCAAAAAUAUGAUUGAACUUAUUGAUGCCAUGACCCCAGUACCAAGGACACAAAACAGUGUUCCAUCAAAUCAUAAAUCAUACUAUCCACCAUAUCAAAUAUAUGAAUAUAUUGUAUGUUGUUGAUAGUUCCAAAUGGCUAAGAAGAAAGUAAUAGUAUCACUUUAUCUUUGACAUCAAUAUCCAUUUAAUAAAUGAUGACAGGGUGAUAUGUAUGAGUGCAUAUGAGUCCAUAUGUACAAAGCAAAAUAACAAUAGGAAUACCUGCAAUGGAACUAUAUUAACAACAGGUUGAAGACAAUCCUCAACCUGUGGAACUUCAAUUACUCGGCAGGAUUCCCCAGGAGACACAGAUGCAGCAUCACCUUUUGAACACAUCACUAUCAAGCGACCUUUACGAGCAUGAAGUUGCUGAAUGACUGACUGCUGUUUGCUGAAACAGGUAUCACGAGUUGCAAUGACAAUAAUUGGAAGAUUUUCAUCCACCAAUGCUAAAGGACCAUGUUUCAUUUCUCCAGCAAGCAUUCCUUCACUGUGCAUAAGUGCCACUUCCUUCACUUUCAGAGCACCCUCCAAAGCUGUUGCAUAGUUGUAUCCUCUCCCAAACACAAGAAGUGAUUGCUCAGCCAUUAAUAGCUUUGCAAGAUCCUUCAUCUCGUGGUCAAGCUUCAGAACCUCUCUGACUCUGUUUGGCAAGUCAAAUAGACCAUCUAUUAUAGCUUCUCUCCUUGCUUGACUAGAAAUAGCAUCGCCUCCAAUUGCUAGAGCUAACAUGGCCAUAACUACUAUUUGACUCGUGUAGGCCUUGGUACUCGCCACACCAAUUUCAGCCCCAGCAUUUAUAUGAACACCACAGUGUGUAUGCCUGGCUAUGGCACUACCAACAGUAUUUGUUAUGCCAACACACAAAGCCCCAUUUUCUAAAGCAUAUUCGAAAGCAAGUAGAGUAUCAGCAGUUUCACCAGACUGACUAACAAAAACAGCAGUAUCUUCUCUGUAUAUGGGCCCUUGCCUAUCCACCAGAUCACUUGCAAUUUCCAUAGUAACUGGGACACCUAUGUAUUAAUAUGCAAUAAUCCAGAAAAAAAAUGUAAAAUAGUCAGUACUAGGAUGGGGAAAAAAAAUUUUUGAAGCUGUCAAGCUGCUUUGUUUUACAACAAUCAAGAAGCACAAACCGGAAAGUUCUUCCAGGAUGGGUCUAGCAGCUAGAGCAGCAUUAUAACUUGUACCACAACCAACAAAAACAAUUCGACGGCUUCGUCGAAUUGUUUUAAGGUGAUCCUUGAGUCCACCUAACAGAACAGUCUUAGCUUUGCAGGAACCUCCACGUAUAAGCCUCCCCCUCAUGGUGGUGGUUAGAGAUUCUGGUUGUUCAUGAAUUUCUUUCUGCAUAUAGUGCUCAUAAUUUCCUUUAUUUAUUUGUUCUACUUCCAUCUCAAGAACUGAUAGUGCACGCUGGACUGAUGAAGGUCUGGAAUGGGCACCACUAUGUCUUCCCUUAUCAUUAUCAAACUUCAGAAUAGACACACUUCCAUCCUUAAGAUGAACCACUUCACCAUCCUCAAUCACCAAGACUCUUUUUGUGUGUUCAACAAUGGCAUUAGCAUCACUGGACAGAAAAAGUUCUUUAGAAUGGCCAUCCAUAGAGAGAAAUUUAGCAUCAUGAAAUGCUGAUCCACUGUUAAUAUCCUCAUUCAGCUCUUUCACACCCAAGAGCAAUGGACUUCCUCGUUUGCAUGCAAUUAACUCGUUUGGAUAAUGUCUGCUCUUAAAAAUAAGAGCAUAGGCUCCUUCAAGAUGCCUCAUGACUUCAAGCACAACUUGACUAAAUGUGACAGGCUGAGCUCCUGAAAUCCAUAUGUAAUGAGCAACAGCAUUAGCUUUAAAAGGAAAAUGCUAUAAUCAGGUUCAAACGCUUUUCAUCAAAAUAACGUAAAAUAAUAUAUUCAAAAGUAUGGACUCAGGCUUUUAACUGAAUACUUGUAUUCUAAUGGCAAAGCAAUUCAAGUAAUUCAAAAUACAUGAUAGGCUCUAGAGAUGAAACAAUAGAGCAAACUGUACUCUUUUGUCGUCCAUAGAAUAUACUAGGAUGCAAUUAUUAUGUUUUCCUGAAGAUUUGUUCUCAGUAAAAAUAUUAUGCAUUCUUCAGUUUUAAUAUGCAUGUUUUCAUUGCAAUUCUUUUCACAACCCAUAAAGAAUCAAGGUACAGAGCAGAUCAUACUACCAUAGAACUAAAGAAUAUCACUUUCUGGUAAAAUAGCAAGGAUGUUUACACCCUUCAGGUUCUUUUGCAUAAAAUGACAGGUAACCCUAUAUCCAUGUAGGAAAAUGCUUUAAUGAAGGUACAAAUGACUAUUUAUAUUCAUAUAUGAAACAUACCUUCACCCUCGUUGGCUUUGUCAAAAACAAAUUUGGCAAGCUUUGGAAUUACUUCUGUGUCAGUUUCAGAUUCAAAGGUGAACCCAUGACGAACUAGUGUUUCCUUUAAGACCUGAGGAUGAUAAUUACAAAAUAAGAAGUUUGGCAUAAGAGAAUAUUGAAAUACUGUUCACUUUGAGCAUCAACAUAAUCACAGAACUCAUUUAUAUUGUAAAAGAAUAAUAACAAAGAUAAAAAAAGGUUGGGGUAGCAGGUAGGAAUUAGGAAAAGAAGAAAACCAGCAAUUAAUAUGGCAAGUUCCAUGUACAAUUCAUCAUAAGUAAGCAUCUUAUUCCCAGUUAGCCCAACAUCAAAAGCUGCUUUAUUGUUAACAUUGACUAUAGAAGGGUGCAAUUUUAGAAAAGGUUGCAAUUUUAGAAAAGGUUGCUUUAAUCUCAAUAACACUAGUAAUUUUACAUCAGAUAAUUAUAAAGUUCAUACCUUUGCCUCAAAGUCAUCAAGCAGAGCAAGGAAACAAAGUGCUUACAGUCACAAUAGGCACCCCACAGCAGCAGUAAUCACAAAUCGAAAAGGGCAGGACCAAUACAACAAUUGCACUCCCCUCAUCUCUUUAUUGACUUUUUCAAUGAAGUAUUUUCUAUCUGAAUAACUUUUUCUAAAGUUCCAUUUAAAACAUGAAUAAUUAGUUUCAACUGUUUUGGACUUCUUAUCAUUUUAAUAGAAUUUGCCUAAACUGUUAGUUCUCCUGGGCUAAAACCGAAUCAACUCAGCUAGGAAUUCUUUUAUAUUGCGAGAUAUUAUAUAUGGAAAAACAUGUCUGAUGCAACUAUAUUAGUAAUCGGCAUAAAAACUCGUUCCCAUACCAAACUUAUUCCCCAAGUAUCAUCCCUAUGUAAAAGUAAACUAAUGACAUCAUAAACAUAUUCUUCCAUGCACCUUCAUUUUUACAUCAACAACAGUGCAAAACAUCAUUUUUUGCUGAUUCAUACAAAAUAACAAUCAGCCGUACAGGUUAGCCAAUAUUACAGACAAACUGAUAUGGGGUGUGUGUAUAUAUUAGCCUAGAUAAGAAGGAAUUGAUAUUGCCUUUGAAAUUUAAAGCAAACCUCAUAAUUAGUGACAACGCCAUUGUGAACAACCAAGAACUCAUUUCCAGCACCUGAUGUUUGGGGAUGACUAUUCCGUGGAGCUGGCUCUCCGUGAGUGGCCCACCGGGUGUGUGCUAUCCCAGCAUGAAUAGAAAAGGAUUCUUCCAAAUUUAAAUCAAUGGUAGCAACUU
Molecule: unclassified non-coding RNA, 4445 nt
Filed under: Hevea brasiliensis (rubber tree)
Lineage: Eukaryota; Viridiplantae; Streptophyta; Magnoliopsida; Malpighiales; Euphorbiaceae
Source: RNAcentral